CUCUUCCUCUUUCCCUAAGCAGCCUGAGGUAAUCUGUGAAAAUGGUUCGCUAUUCACUUGACCCGGAGAACCCCACGAAAUCAUGCAAAUCAAGAGGUUCCAAUCUUCGUGUUCACUUCAAGGUAUGCGAUUCAUAGUUGUGAUCCAACAGUUCCUCAUGUUCCACUCAAAAAAGGUAGCUGCAGUGAUGACUUUCUUAGGACACCUUUGGAUUUACCGUGAAAAUUAAUAAAUUCUGAGCAGCCACCUUAUAUUUAGGCAUUGAUGAUCAGGGUGUAAGGAUGUAGCGUUUGUACCAGAAAACCAUUUGGAAAUCUAGUGUGCAGAUCAAGAUGGAGCAUUUUAAUUGUAAUUACAUGGUGAUGGAAUUUAAACAUUUUAUAGUGAAUAAAUGGAGUUUUGGAGUUUUCUCUAGCUUCAACGAAGUUUACCUGGCUUUUAGUCACAAGUUUUUUUAAUUGCCUUGCCCCCAAAGAAUAGAAAUAACUCGACAUUUUGAAAAGCUGAAAAUUUAAUGUUUACUUUAAAAAUUAAAGCUU
RNAcentral lists this small RNA (539 nucleotides) under Pan troglodytes (chimpanzee). RNAcentral's name for it is "retained intron". The stretch from base 180 to 244 matches the Rfam family "Small nucleolar RNA SNORD58". The record is from RNAcentral. Lineage: Eukaryota; Metazoa; Chordata; Mammalia; Primates; Hominidae.